GAUGAACGCUGGCGGCGUGCCUAACACAUGCAAGUCGAGCGAACAGACGAGGUGCUUGCUCCUCUGACGGUAGCGGCGGACAGGUGAGUAACAAGAGGAGAACAUACCUAUACGACUGGGAUAAUUACGGGAUACCGGAGCUAAUACCACAGAAUAUAUUGAACCGGAUGGUUCAUUAGUGAAAGACGGUUUUGGUGUCACUGAUAGAUGGACCCGCGGCGCAUUAGCUGGUUGGUGGGGUAACGGCUUACCAAGGCAGCGAUGCGUAGCCGACCUGAGAGGGGGGUGGGCCACACUGGUAGUGAGACACGGUCCAGAAUCCUACGGGAGGCAGCAGUAGGGAAUCUUCCGGCAUGGGGGAAAGACUGACGGAGCAGCGCCGCGUGAGUGAUGAAGGUGUUCGGAUCGUAGAACUCUGUUAUCAGGAAAGAACAAAUGUGUAAGUAACUAUGCGCGUCUUGACGGUACCUGGUCAAGAAGCCACGGCUAACUACGUG
RNAcentral lists this ribosomal RNA (497 nucleotides) under uncultured bacterium. RNAcentral's name for it is "partial 16S ribosomal RNA". It matches the Rfam family "Bacterial small subunit ribosomal RNA", at positions 28 to 507 of the family's 1533-position model. The record is from RNAcentral.